Molecule: transfer RNA, 66 nt
Filed under: Bactrocera moluccensis
Lineage: Eukaryota; Metazoa; Arthropoda; Insecta; Diptera; Tephritidae
Description: tRNA-Gly
Source: RNAcentral
AUUUGUGUAAUAUAUAAGUAUAUUUGACUUCCAAUCAUAAAGUCUACUAAAUCAGUAGUACAAAUA